CUUGCAGUAACGGGUGGCCUUGUCUAUUGGAGAGUUACAAAUUGCAUGAUGCUUUUUUUCAAGGCCUUUUAUCAGUCUGUCUGUUAAAGAGAAUCCCAUAUCAGAAGCAUGCAUCUUCCCCCGUCCUGGCAGUUAAUAUGUGCGGUACAUUCCCAAACGAGGCCAUAGGGACUCCGUAAAGGCUUAGAGAUCAGACCUGGCUUCAAAUACUACUGGAAAUCAUUUGAAAUACUUUAUCUGGACUUUAUUGAGCUUGCCUGUUGCAAUGGAACCAAUAGACAACUCCCAAACCCAGCCCACCUGACACUCUGGGCAAACUAUCUGAAAAUAUUUGAAAGAUUUGAAAUAAUAUUUGAACCCAGAUAGCACCCUGGGAUGCUGCUGGCACGGAGCCUUUCAAUCAAGCCUGCAAGCCUCCUGAGGUAAAACAUCAGUCACUACCAGAAAACUCUCCUCCCUCGUAAAACUGAGGAACGGCCUUCGCCACAGGGACACCGGCAGCCUGCACAGACAAUUUUUACAUAUUCAUUUAUGUCCUGAAGAGUUAUAAUUGAGCGAAGAGGGUGGGUCCGGUGUGUUUGGGGAAAUAUUAAACGGGCCCAUCGGUUGUAGUUUGUGGGUCUUUCAUCACCUUUUAUGGAGGUGCUCUGAACAGGCCAUGUUUAUGUUGCCUUCACAGGUAGAGGGAUUGGAGCCGUGUUCGCAUAAAAGGUAAAAUGAUGGGUGUAAUAGUGUUGCCAUGGAGAGAGCAGAGAAGUGGAGUAACAGCGUGAGUGAUUGACAGCCCUUCAGCACUGGAUUCACUUAUUUUCUCUUAAUGAAUGAUGGAUGUGAGGGGGCAGCUGCCCUGCUCCACAGACUCCAAAGGUGACCUUGACUGAUCAGAAGAAAAGUUUGAAAGAUGAUUCAUCGAUUCAUCCCAAAGACUAAACUGUUGACAAAAAUGGUUGCCGAUGUCACUGUGUUACUCAAACUACAUGCAUUGUAUGCCAUCGCCUUGUAGAUGCUACUAGCUGUUCUUGAAUAUGUACCAUCUUUGGUUUUAGAGACGCACUGGCAUUUUCUGAACGGGUAACUCUUUAUUGGAAGCAUAGUGCCAUAACAACUCAUAACUCGGUCAUAACCAUUAUCUCAUUACCCCAUUAUCUCUAUUUCUACUUUGCACUUUCUUCUACUACAAAUCUACCAUUCCAGUGUUUUACUUGCUAUAUUGUAUUUACUUUGCCACCAUGGACUUUUUUUUGCCUUUACCUCCCUUAUCUCACCUCAUUUGCUCACAUUGUACAUAGACUUAUUUUUCUACUGUAUAUUUGUUUUACUCCAUGUGUAACUCU
This 1334-nucleotide long non-coding RNA is filed under the name Salmo salar (Atlantic salmon). RNAcentral describes it as "lncRNA (ENSSSAG00000121216.1, ENSSSAG00075067776.1)". Lineage: Eukaryota; Metazoa; Chordata; Actinopteri; Salmoniformes; Salmonidae. The record is from RNAcentral.